AACCUGCCCAAGAGACUGGGAUAACACCUGGAAACAGAUGCUAAUACCGGAUAACAACACUAGACGCAUGUCUAGAGUUUGAAAGAUGGUUCUGCUAUCACUCUUGGAUGGACCUGCGGUGCAUUAGCUAGUUGGAAAGGUAACGGCUUACCAAGGCAAUGAUGCAUAGCCGAGUUGAGAGACUGAUCGGCCACAUUGGGACUGAGACACGGCCCAAACUCCUACGGGAGGCAGCAGUAGGGAAUCUUCCACAAUGGACGAAAGUCUGAUGGAGCAACGCCGCGUGAGUGAAGAAGGGUUUCGGCUCGUAAAGCUCUGUUGGUAGUGAAGAAAGAUAGAGGUAGUAACUGGCCUUUAUUUGACGGUAAUUACUUAGAAAGUCACGGCUAACUACGUGCCAGCAGCCGCGGUAAUACGUAGGUGGCAAGCGUUGUCCGGAUUUAUUGGGCGUAAAGCGAGUGCAGGCGGUUCAAUAAGUCUGAUGUGAAAGCCUUCGGCUCAACCGGAGAAUUGCAUCAAAAACUGUUGAACUU
Molecule: ribosomal RNA, 533 nt
Filed under: uncultured bacterium
Lineage: Bacteria
Description: bacterial SSU rRNA
Rfam family: Bacterial small subunit ribosomal RNA
Source: RNAcentral